This 487-nucleotide ribosomal RNA is filed under the name uncultured bacterium. Its description in RNAcentral is "partial 16S ribosomal RNA". It matches the Rfam family "Bacterial small subunit ribosomal RNA", at positions 28 to 507 of the family's 1533-position model. The record is from RNAcentral.
GAUGAACGCUAGCGAUAGGCUUAACACAUGCAAGUCGAGGGGCAGCACAAGGUAGCUUGCUAUCUGGGUGGCGACCGGCGCACGGGUGCGUAACGCGUAUGCAACUUGCCCUAUACAGGAGGAUAACCCGUCGAAAGACGGACUAAUACUGCGUAUGCUCACAACUUGGCACCAAGUGGUAAGGAAAGAAAUUCGGUAUAGGAUAGGCAUGCGUCCCAUUAGCUUGUUGGUGAGGUAACGGCUCACCAAGGCAACGAUGGGUAGGGGAACUGAGAGGUUUAUCCCCCACACUGGUACUGAGACACGGACCAGACUCCUACGGGAGGCAGCAGUGAGGAAUAUUGGUCAAUGGGCGCGAGCCUGAACCAGCCAAGUCGCGUGAAGGAUGACUGUCUUAUGGAUUGUAAACUUCUUUUAUACGGGAAUAACAAGAGUCACGUGUGACUCCCUGCAUGUACCGUAUGAAUAAGCAUCGGCUAACUCCGUG